AUGAAGUCGGAAUUGCUAGUAAUCGCAGAUCAGCAUGCUGUGGUGAAUACGUUCCCGGGCCUUGUACACACCGCCCGUCACACCAUGGGAGUCGGUAACACCCAAAGUUGGUAGUCUAACCGCAAGGAGGACGCCGCCUAAGGUGGGAUUGAUGACUGGGGUGAAGUCGUAACAAGGUACC
This 181-nucleotide ribosomal RNA is filed under the name uncultured bacterium. RNAcentral's name for it is "partial 16S ribosomal RNA". It matches the Rfam family "Bacterial small subunit ribosomal RNA", at positions 1320 to 1500 of the family's 1533-position model. The record is from RNAcentral.